This 468-nucleotide ribosomal RNA is filed under the name uncultured bacterium. Its description in RNAcentral is "partial 16S ribosomal RNA". It matches the Rfam family "Bacterial small subunit ribosomal RNA", at positions 28 to 507 of the family's 1533-position model. The record is from RNAcentral.
GACGAACGCUGGCGGCGUGCUUAACACAUGCAAGUCGAACGGAAGGGCCCUACUUUUGUGGGUUGCUCGAGUGGCGAACGGGUGAGUAACACGUGAGUAACCUGCCCUAGACUUUGGGAUAACAUCAGGAAACGAGGGCUAAUACCGUAUAGGAGCUCCUGCUCCAUGGGGAGGGUGGGAAAGUUUGGGCUGGUGGGGAUGGACUCGCGGCUUACGAGUUUGUUGGUGGGGGGGUGGCUUACCAAGGCCGUGACGGGUAGCCGGCCGGGGAGGGUGACCGGGCACCGUGGGAUUGAGACAGGGCCCAGACCCAGACGGGAGGCAGAGGUGGCGAAGAUGAAACAAGGGGAGGAAGCGGGAUGCAGAAACGGCGCGGGCGGGAUGACGGAGUUCGGGUUGGAAACAGCAUCCGCUUGUGACGAAGCGGGAGUGACGGUAACCGGUAAAGAAGCACCGGCUAACUUCGUG